GGAAAGCAAAGAAAGCCCACGAUGAGAUGAACCCCAUGAAAUCGGCAGAAAUGGCCCGACUUCUGCUCCAUCCGAAUCAUCUAAAAGUAAAGCUGGACGCACAUAAAAUCACUCAGGUGAAGCACCCAUGAACCAGAUGAUGCAGUUUUCUUGGUUACAGGUGAUCUUAAGCCUUCACAUUGUUCAGUGAAAGAGAAUCCAAGAACUGGGGAGCAUAGUGGGCAAUGGAGCGGCAGUCUGCUAAAAAAUUAUCAGCAAGUGAUACAAGAGGAGUCUCACGGCCGGAAAACGCGAAUUGGGGCAAAAUAAUAGUCUUUAUCAUGGGUCUAAUUGCCGCCGAUCACAAAAUGUAGAACGGAAGCCGAACGAUCGAAUUCGUGAGGAAGACCCAGAUUUGGAGAUUUCAGUUGACG
RNAcentral lists this long non-coding RNA (413 nucleotides) under Spirodela polyrhiza (greater duckweed). RNAcentral's name for it is "long non-coding RNA (SPOL_LNC001682)". Lineage: Eukaryota; Viridiplantae; Streptophyta; Magnoliopsida; Alismatales; Araceae. The record is from RNAcentral.